AUUCAUUGCUUUUAUACUUAUAAAAAUGGAAAAAUAGGGCAAUUACAAUGUUGGAUAUUUUAGCAUUAGAAAAAAACGUAAAUACCUGAUUUCAUGUGACAAUGAAUGACAUUCAAAUGAUUGUUAGAAAGGUAAUUUUCAAGCUUUUAAAUGUAACUAAAACCAAAUAUAAUAAUUCAUCCAAAAAACUGAAAAAAAGACAUUUGAAAUUACAAAAAUUUUUAUGUUAUACGUGUAUAUACAUUUGAAAAAACAAUUCUUAAAUGGAUUGAUCUGAAAAUUUGAAACCACUGAAUCAAAAGCUUAUCUUUCUGAGUAGAGGUGAAAUUUAAACUUCUAAAAACUGCUAUAUACACCCACCAAGAAGCACCAAUAAUUCAUUCUUAAACCUUACUUUCUGAAUGUAUAGACUAUAAUAUUUGAAACAUUUUAGGCCAAUUAAUUGCUUUGCAUCAAUUAAAACAUACUGAGUGUAGAAAAGGGAGUAAAACCUCAUAUAUAUAGAUUCUAAGAGGUGUCUGUCUUACGAAUGUAAUAAUUUGGGCUGGGCGCGGUGGCAAACACCUGUAAUCCCAGCACUUUGGGAGGCCGAGGCGGGUGGAUUACGAGGUCAGGAGUUCGAGACCAGCCUGGCCAAGAUGGUGAAACUCCGUCUCUACUGAAAAUACAAAAAUUAGUCAGGCGUGGUGGCGGGCACCUGUAGUCCCAGCUACCCAGGAGGCUGAGGUUGCAGUGAGCUGAGAUCGCACCAUUGCGCUCCAGCCUGGGCGACAAGAGUGAACCUCCAUCUUAAAAAAAAAAAAGAACUUAAUAAUUUGUUAC
Molecule: long non-coding RNA, 822 nt
Filed under: Homo sapiens (human)
Lineage: Eukaryota; Metazoa; Chordata; Mammalia; Primates; Hominidae
Description: non-protein coding lnc-LEO1-1:1
Source: RNAcentral